Molecule: ribosomal RNA, 555 nt
Filed under: Didymium iridis
Lineage: Eukaryota; Evosea; Eumycetozoa; Physariida; Didymiaceae
Description: bacterial SSU rRNA
Rfam family: Eukaryotic small subunit ribosomal RNA
Source: RNAcentral
UACCUGGUUGAUCCUGCCAGUAGUGUAUGCUUAUCCUAAAGACUAAGCCAUGCAUGCCUUCGAAUAAGAGGAAGCAAUUCUCUCUGAAUCUGCGAACGGCUCCGCAAACCAGUUGUAAACUAUAGCAAGCAAGCUCGUGCCCUUCACCGGGKGCGGGCAACAUGGAUAACCCUGGUAAUUCUGAGGCUAAUACAAGAUUGUACUACUUGGCUAACCGGGCAASUGGAAGGCUGGGAGGUGUGUGAUUUAGCACGAGGAAUNUGSUGGGAAUAGACACACGCCUGGACCGCGCCAAAAACAGAUGGGGCUUCCCGCAAGGGUCGUCCUGCUUGAGCGGCUCUUGCUUUGUGCUUUUGACCUAUCAACUAGAUGGCAGCGUAACGGACCUGCUAUGGUGACAACGGGUACAGAGGAUAAGGGUUCGAUCCUGGAGAGUGGGCCUGAGAGAUUGCUCAUACUUUUAAGGAAGGCAGCAGGCGCGCAACGUUCCCCUUGUACAAUGUAUGAGGGCGUUAGGGGACAUAUGAAUGUCUGCCCUAUGGGUGACAUCAAUGU